UACGAGGACCCCGAGCGUUAUCCGGAAUUACUGGGCGUAAAGCGUGAGCAUCCGGUUGUGCUAGUCUCAUGUUAAAUUUCACUGCUCAACGGUGAAACCGCGUGGGAAACGGCACGACUAGAGCGGGUAAGAGGCAAGCGGAACGUGCAGUGUAGGGGUGAAAUCCAUUGAUAUUGCACGGAACACCAAAAGCGAAAGCAGCUUGCUAGUGCUCUGCUGACGGUCAAUCACUAAAGCGUGGGGAUCAAAAAGG
This 253-nucleotide ribosomal RNA is filed under the name uncultured bacterium. RNAcentral's name for it is "partial 16S ribosomal RNA". It matches the Rfam family "Bacterial small subunit ribosomal RNA", at positions 524 to 776 of the family's 1533-position model. The record is from RNAcentral.